GAUGAACGCUGGCGGCGUGCUUAACACAUGCAAGUCGAACGAAGCACUCUAUGUGAUUUUUUUCGGAAAUGAAGAUUUUGUGACUGAGUGGCGGACGGGUGAGUAACGCGUGGGUAACCUGCCUCAUACAGGGGGAUAACAGUUGGAAACGACUGCUAAUACCGCAUAAGCGCACGGUAUCGCAUGGUACAGUGUGAAAAACUCCGGUGGUAUGAGAUGGACCCGCGUCUGAUUAGCUAGUUGGUGGGGCAACGGCCUACCAAGGCGACGAUCAGUAGCCGACCUGAGAGGGUGACCGGCCACAUUGGGACUGAGACACGGCCCAAACUCCUACGGGAGGCAGCAGUGGGGAAUAUUGCACAAUGGGGGAAACCCUGAUGCAGCGACGCCGCGUGAACGAAGAAGUAUUUCGGUAUGUAAAGUUCUAUCAGCAGGGAAGAUAAUGACGGUACCUGACUAAGAAGCACCGGCUAAAUACGUGCCAGCAGCCGCGGUAA
This 497-nucleotide ribosomal RNA is filed under the name uncultured bacterium. RNAcentral describes it as "partial 16S ribosomal RNA". It matches the Rfam family "Bacterial small subunit ribosomal RNA", at positions 28 to 523 of the family's 1533-position model. The record is from RNAcentral.